CUGUAAUUUUAUUCCAAUUGAUCGUGCAUUAUUUCCUUUGUCUUUCCGGUGCUUUCGAAUUUCACGUGUAUAUGUACCUAUGCAUAUACGUAUAGCACGUUAGCUGUCACGCGAAAUUUCUAUACUCUGCCGCGAGCUAAAAUACAUCGAAAUAUGCUAUAGCGUAACGCUUAAUUUUUGCAACAUAUUACAUUUAAGAAAAAAUAUUUCAUGCAAUUGGAAUAUUUAAUUUAUAUAUUUGUUUACGUCAUUUUUUUACACUUAUUCGGAUCGUAAGAAACGAUUGUUCCAAGAAACUAUCGUGUUCCUUGGUACUUAAAAAAAUGUGACGAAUUUCUAAUAAAUUUCUAUGUAGUAUAUAAUAAGAUGGUAACUGAAAUGGCAAUUCUAAUUACCCGAAAUGGUAACUGAAAGUCCUCGAAAGGGACAAGGGUUACCGGUUAAGGGAUGAAAGGAGAGGGACAGCAGCUGUUCGAGAUUGAACCCUAGACAAAGAUUUUCGGUAGCGAUCCUUUUUCAAGGGACGAUGGUCAACACUGUGUUUUGCAUACCGGUCAAACGCGUCGGUAGAUGCAUCGACGAAUACCGAACGCGUUUCGUGUACGUAUUUAUAUCGUGAUCGCAACAUACCCGGUUUCAGUAUCGCCUCGUCCUUUCGAAGAGCGAGUUUAAUUAUAAGCCGAACAGUUAGUCCCCGUAAAUAAUGUGACGAUGCGUCCCGCGAGUGGUUGCAGCGUAUGUCCCCCAUGGGACAUUAAUUUUGCAACGAUCGAUAGUUACCCGACAUUUUCGAGUAAUUUUCAAGUGUUUUUUUAGCCCUUUUAAAUUCGAUUUCGUGAGUUGUUCUCUCGUUAAACGAUACCUAGAUAUAUUGCUGUUGUCGGUAAAAUUAAUUUUAAAGUCUACUCUGUUUUAUUUUCAUCGCAAAAGCAUCAGAAAAUAUGUGCGUUUAUUAUAGUAUCUCAUCGUAGCAUGGCGACUGGUGACGUUAUAGCCAAGUGGCGUCGUAUGAAUAGCAACUGCUAAUACACAAUGUCUGGAGAAACCUUCGAGGAAAAUACGAUCCCGGUCGAUCGAUACUCGUUGCAGUAAGAGAAAGAAUAAGAGAAAAAAGAAAGCUUCUCCGAUGGACUAGAGAGUGAAAGGGAUACACCGAUGGUUUUCGAAUAUCUAUACGAUCAUCGAUCGCAUCGAUUCGGCAAGCUUCCACGAGGAAGGAAAAUUGGUCCUGUUUCGUUUCAUCCUUAAUGGAUUGUCCUUUGCAGGGAUUUUACAUUGGUUGAAAUAAAGAUGCUUAGUUUCUGAACCCAUGUUAAUCUUUUAACUCCAUGAUGUUUUAGUAGGACAAAAAUGCAGAAAAUACUGAUAGCAGAAAAGACAUAACAAUGGCAGACAUUUUGAUCGUCCAUUGCCAUCGUUCAAUCCCACGAACUGCUCUAGGGGAGUGGGCAAGGAUACUCACCCCCGUUUCGAUCACCCUUGAAAAUAUUUCCAGCCAUUUUUCGCCCCACCAACAGGUCUAAGGGUGUGCAGGAGAAAGUGGAGGUAGAAACAAUGGAAAAAGUACCGCCAUCUUUAAUUCCGUCUCCGGCCACCUCCACUUCGUAGGCAGCCUACGCUCCCAGUCUUCGAGGUGAAGAAAGAAAAUGCCAAGAUCGAUAAAUUCUUCUUCUUAAGACUGUCUUUUACGUCCAGCGGGUCGAAGCUAUAUCUCAAAGCUAAUUCCGCGACUGCAGCAAGAGUAUUCCUUACCGAGCUUCGCUGUAAUCUUUUUUAGCAGGCAUCCAUAGUUUUUCAAAUAAAUAUACAAUGAAAUAAAUUAGUUUAAUCAGAUUGAUCAGAAUUCCAGGAGCAGAAGGAACGUAUAUAUUAAUAGCGUUAGCUUUAUUUUUGGUAAAUAGUUGGUCUAUUCCUUAUUUGGCAUUGCAGUAAAUCAUUUAAAACGUGCAUGUAGCUCUUAAUACGUAUAAUUACACGCAUUGGUAUUAGACAAAUUAGAAUUUAAGAAAUAAAAAGAAAGGAAAUAGUUAUUUGAAUAUAACAUAUAAAAAAGUACUUUUUAGUUUGAAUUAAUACAUAGUAGCAUUCGCAUAGCUUCGUAAUAAAUGAUGAGUGAUAAAUAUAGAGUUAGACUUAUAACAAAUAAGCAAAAAUGAAGAAAAUAUCCAUCCUGGAAGGGAAGUUUCGAACAAAAAAUUACGAAACGUAAAUCGAAUAUAUCGUCGCUUGACAAAGACACGAUUCGAUAUUCUGUAUACAUCAACCCCUUUAAAUUGGUAGUUACCAGAAGCCAGAAAAGAGGAUCGCAACAGGCACCUUCGUUUCCAACACGGCUUGAAUCAAAAAUAUACUUACUUACAAAUGAUAAAUCACGAUUCUCGGUAUAUCUUCCCAAGAUAAUAAUAUAUGUUUGCAAUACAGGCGAUUAAUACCAAGAAACACGAAUAUUAAAAAUCAAAUCAAAUUAAAUCGACACAACCACGGUGUGUAUCGAGUACUCGUAUGCAGCUUGUUUUCCGUGACGUUCCGAAUAUGAGAACAGUCCUGUCAUCUCUAUCCCCGAUUUCUGAACCUUUUAAAGACCUGCCUUUCC
Molecule: long non-coding RNA, 2593 nt
Organism: Bombus terrestris (buff-tailed bumblebee)
Lineage: Eukaryota; Metazoa; Arthropoda; Insecta; Hymenoptera; Apidae
Exons: 4
Source: RefSeq, a predicted model, not a curated record